UCCCUGUUACACAGGAUGCAGUGUCUUGGC
This 30-nucleotide non-coding RNA is filed under the name Mus musculus (house mouse). The record is from RNAcentral. Lineage: Eukaryota; Metazoa; Chordata; Mammalia; Rodentia; Muridae.